This 66-nucleotide transfer RNA is filed under the name Calliteara horishanella. RNAcentral's name for it is "tRNA-Phe". Lineage: Eukaryota; Metazoa; Arthropoda; Insecta; Lepidoptera; Erebidae. The record is from RNAcentral.
AUUUAAAUAGCUUAUAUAAAGAGUAUAAUAUUGAAGCUAUUAAGGAGAUAAAAUUAUCUUUAAAUA